CGUGUAGGCGGCUAUACAGGUCCGCUGUGAAAACUCGAGGCUCAACCUCGAGACGUCGGUGGAAACCGUAUGGCUAGAGUCCGGAAGAGGAGAGUGGAAUUCCUGGUGUAGCGGUGAAAUGCGCAGAUAUCAGGAAGAACACCCGUGGCGAAGGCGGCUCUCUGGGACGGUACUGACGCUGAGACGCGAAAGCGUGGGGAGCGAACAGGAUUAGAUACCCUGGUAGUCCACGCCGUAAACGAUGGGUGCUAGGUGUGGGGGGUGUCGACUCCCUCCGUGCCGCAGCUAACGCAUUAAGCACCCCGCCUGGGGAGUACGGCCGCAAGGCUAAA
RNAcentral lists this ribosomal RNA (332 nucleotides) under uncultured bacterium. Its description in RNAcentral is "bacterial SSU rRNA". It matches the Rfam family "Bacterial small subunit ribosomal RNA", at positions 568 to 898 of the family's 1533-position model. The record is from RNAcentral.